Molecule: long non-coding RNA, 462 nt
Filed under: Homo sapiens (human)
Lineage: Eukaryota; Metazoa; Chordata; Mammalia; Primates; Hominidae
Description: non-protein coding MIR99AHG:34
Source: RNAcentral
AGUGUUUCCUAGAGCCAUCUGCUGACAACACGAACAUUGGGCAUCUGACAGAGGAGAAAUAUUUAUAAGGUUUAGCUCCAGUAUCACAGGCAGAGCAAUGGAGGAUGGAUUUGGAGCUGCAAGGCAAUAAACUGGUAACUGAACAAAGCAAUUAAGUCAAUGAACACUGCUAUCCUACUGGCUUUGAAAUGAAGGCACACCCCUUCAGAGUGUACCCUAUCAGAAAGAAAGAAGAGGAAAAAAAAUUAUAAUUAUUAAUUCAUGAUGCUAUGCAGGCUUUGUGAGGUUGGAGGUAACUGCUAUUGAAGAAAUGCUUCAGGCCCUGGUCAACACAACGAAAGACAAUGAACAGAAAUCGCCAUUUGAUGUGAAGAGUGACUGUAAAGGAAGACAAGAAGAAGGCACAAGGAGAUUUGCUCCAAACUAGUUCUUCCCAUAAAAUCUCUGCCCCGGCCAGUUGCA